Molecule: ribosomal RNA, 251 nt
Filed under: uncultured prokaryote
Description: partial 16S rRNA
Rfam family: Bacterial small subunit ribosomal RNA
Source: RNAcentral
ACGUAGGUGACGAGCGUUGUUCGGAAUUAUUGGGCGUAAAGGGUUCGUAGGAGGUUUAUUAAGAUUGGUGUGAAAUCCCAAGGCUCAACCUUGGAACUGCAUUGAUUACUGAUGAACUAGAGUGUCGUAGAGGAAAGCGGAAUUCCAGGUGGGGAGGUUGCGGGGGGAGAUAUCUGUAAGAGGAAAGAAAGCGGGGGGAGCAUUCAGGUUGAGAACCGCGUGUAGUGAAGGAAAGCUUAUCUUAAAAUAAG